AUGGGAGCGGCCAUGGCGGAGGAGAAGAGGGCGCACGCGAUGAUGUUCCCGUUCCCGUGCUCGGGCCACAUCAACCCGACGCUGAAGCUGGCGGAGCUGCUGCACUCGCGCGGGGUGCACGUCACCUUCGUCAACACCGAGCACAACCACGAGCGGCUGCUGCGGACGGGCGGCGCGCGGCUCGCCGGCCGGGACGGGUUCCGGUUCGAGUCCGUGCCCGACGGGCUGGACGACGCGGACCGCGCCGCGCCCGACAAGACGGUGAGGCUCUACCUGUCGCUGCGGAGGAGCUGCGGCCCGCCGCUGGUGGACCUGGCGCGCCGGCUCGGGGAGCAAGAGGGCGUGCCGCCCGUCACCUGCGUCGUGCUCAGCGGCCUCGCCAGCUUCGUGCUGGGCGUCGCGGAGGAGCUCCGCGUGCCGUCCUUCGUCAUCUGGGGCACCAGCGCCGUCGGCUUCGUCUGCACGCUCCGGCUGCGCCAGCUCACACAGAGAGGCUACACGCCGCUCAAAGAUGAGAGCUACUUGACCAACGGGUACCUGGACACGCCGAUCGACUGGAUCGCCGGGAUGCCGGCGGUGCGGCUCGGCGACAUCUCCAGCUUCGUCCGGACGGUGGAGCCGAACGGAUUCGGCCUGCGCGUGGAGGAGGAGGAGGCCAACAGCUGCGCCAGGGCGCAGGGCCUCAUCCUCAACACGUUCGACGAGCUCGAGUCAGACGUCCUGGGCGCGCUCCGGGACGAGUUCCCGCGCGUGUACACCAUCGGGCCGCUCGCGGCCGCCAUGCACCGCCGCGUCGACCACGGCGCGUCCGGGCUGAGCCUGUGGGAGGAGGACGCGGCGUGCAUGGCGUGGCUGGACGCGCAACCGGUGGCGGGGUCGGUGCUGUACGUCAGCUUCGGGAGCCUGGCGGUGCUGUCGCUGGACCAGCUGGCGGAGUUCGCGUGGGGCCUCGCCGCCAGCAACCGCCCGUUCCUCUGGGUCGUGCGGCCCGGCCUCGUCGCCGGCGACCGCGGCAUGGAAGCCCUGCCCGCCGACUUCCUCGCGGAGACCAAAGGGCGGCGCUUCAUCGCCGAGUGGUGCGCGCAGGAGCAGGUGCUGCGGCACCGCGCCGUGGGGGGCUUCCUGACGCACAGCGGGUGGAACUCGACGACGGAGAGCAUCUGGGCCGGCGUGCCGAUGAUCUGCGCGCCGGGGUUCGCGGACCAGUACAUCAACAGCCGGUACGUGUGCGGGGAGUGGGGCGUCGGGCUGCGCCUGGACGAGCAGCUGCGGCGAGAGCAGGUGGCGGCGCACAUCGAGGAGCUCAUGGGCGGUGGCGAGGGGGGCGAGGAGAUGAGGCGCCGCGCCGCCGAGUGGAAGGCUCGGGCCGAGGCGGCCACGGCGCCCGGAGGGUCGGCGUACGAGAACCUCGACAAGCUGGUCGAGGAGCUGCGGCUGGAGGUGCCGGACGGCGGCAAGCCUGCCAAAGUCACGCACGCCCGGUGA
RNAcentral lists this ribosomal RNA (1485 nucleotides) under Triticum aestivum (bread wheat). Its description in RNAcentral is "partial small subunit ribosomal RNA". Lineage: Eukaryota; Viridiplantae; Streptophyta; Magnoliopsida; Poales; Poaceae. The record is from RNAcentral.